GAUGAAGAACGUAGCGAAUUGCGAUAAGUAAUGUGAAUUGCAGAUUUUCAGUGAAUCAUCGAAUCUUUGAACGCACCUUGCGCUCCUUGGUAUUCCGAGGAGCAUGCCUGUUUGAGUGUCAUUUAAUUCUCAACCAUCCCUCGAUUUGUUUCGAGGUUUGGCUUGGAUUUUGGGAGCUGCCGGGCGACCCUACGGUCUUCGGCUCUCCUUAAAAGCAUUAGCGAUGGUGGAACGACCUAACUCCAUGCAUGAACGGCCUUCGACGUGAUAAUGAUCGUCGUGGCUGGAGUGCUAGCGGGCGUCGUGAAGCCAGCGCUUCUAAAUCUCUCGUCGAAAGACGAAACUCGAAACUUGACCUCAAAUCCGGUAGGACUACCCGCUGAACUUAAGCAUAUCAAUAAGCGGAGGA
Molecule: unclassified non-coding RNA, 409 nt
Filed under: soil metagenome
Description: partial contains 5.8S ribosomal RNA, internal transcribed spacer 2, and large subunit ribosomal RNA
Rfam family: 5.8S ribosomal RNA (bases 1-121)
Source: RNAcentral